GAUCUAUGAUGAGUUUUAGUAUGGAUCUGACAACAAAGUUGAUGUCUUUCACUACUUCAGCUCUAGAAUUACUCUGAGAUCUG
Molecule: small nucleolar RNA, 83 nt
Filed under: Pogona vitticeps (central bearded dragon)
Lineage: Eukaryota; Metazoa; Chordata; Lepidosauria; Squamata; Agamidae
Description: Small nucleolar RNA SNORD45 (ENSPVIG00000002995.1)
Rfam family: Small nucleolar RNA SNORD45
About the family: U45 belongs to the C/D class of snoRNA which contain the C (UGAUGA) and D (CUGA) box motifs.
Source: RNAcentral